RNAcentral lists this long non-coding RNA (429 nucleotides) under Medicago truncatula (barrel medic). RNAcentral's name for it is "long non-coding RNA (MTRU_LNC003151)". Lineage: Eukaryota; Viridiplantae; Streptophyta; Magnoliopsida; Fabales; Fabaceae. The record is from RNAcentral.
UUUUAUGUUAGUUUUUGGUCAUCAUUUGGGACUAUCUCAAGCCACUUGAACCUUUUAUGAUGUAGUUUGUUCCUUUGGUGUUUGCCUAUUCACAUCUCGGGGUGGGUUUGAAGCCAAUAAAUUUUUAGCCGAUUCAAAAAAUGUCCAAAAAAAAUGAGAACUUGAUUUUUAGAAACAAAAAAAAUAUAACUGCUCUUGUAGUAAAUUGUAAUCGAUUAUUAACUUCUUGGAACAUAAGGUUGCAGAACUGUUUUCGACACGUUUUACGUUUGAGGAAUUUGUAGCAUUCUUGCUUAUUUGUUUUGGUGUGUUCAGGUAUUGUUUUCAAGUUUUUAACUUCUUAGCUUCUAUGUUUCAUACAUGUUUAACCUAAUAUUUUACUUUAGCUUCCUAAAGAAAUGAAAAUUCUAUUUUGAUUUUGCUUUAGCA